UCGUUGCUUCGGCGGGCCCGCCUCACGGCCGCCGGGGGGCUUCGUCCCCUGGUCCGCGCCCGCCGAAGACACCUUUGAACGCUGUAUAAUUGUGCAGUCUGAGCGAUAAGCAAAAUUAAUUAAAACUUUCAACAACGGAUCUCUUGGUUCCGGCAUCGAUGAAGAACGCAGCGAAAUGCGAUAAGUAAUGUGAAUUGCAGAAUUCAGUGAAUCAUCGAGUCUUUGAACGCACAUUGCGCCCCCUGGUAUUCCGGGGGGCAUGCCUGUCCGAGCGUCAUUGCUGCCCUCAAGCACGGCUUGUUCUUGGGCUUCGUCCCCCUCGGGGGACGGGCCUGAAAGGCAGCGGCGGCACCGCGUCCGGUCCUCGAGCGUAUGGGGCUUUGUCACCCGCUCUGUAGGCCCGGCCGGCGCCAGCCGAACCCCCAAUCUAUUCAGGUUGACCUCGGAUCAGGUAGGGAUACCCGCUGAACUUAAGCAUAUCAAUAAGCGGAGGAAAAGAAACCAACAGGGAUUGCCUCAGUAACGGCGAGUGAAGCGGCAAGAGCUCAAAUUUGAAAGCUGGCUCCUUCGGGGUCCGCAUUGUAAUUUGCAGAGGAAGCUUCGGGAGCGGUCCCCAUCUAAGUGCCCUGGAACGGGCCGUCAUAGAGGGUGAGAAUCCCGUAUGGGAUGGGGUGUCCGCGCCCGUGUGAAGCUCCUUCGACGAGUCGAGUUGUUUGGGAAUGCAGCUCUAAAUGGGUGGUAAAUUUCAUCUAAAGCUAAAUAUUGGCCGGAGACCGAUAGCGCACAAGUAGAGUGAUCGAAAGAUGAAAAGCACUUUGAAAAGAGAGUUAAAAAGCACGUGAAAUUGUUGAAAGGGAAGCGUUUGCGACCAGACUCGCUCGCGGGGUUCAGCCGACUUUCGGGUCGGUGUACUUCCCCGUGAGCGGGCCAGCGUCGGUUUGGGCGGCCGGUCAAAGGCCCUUGGAAUGUAACGCCUUCCGGGGCGUCUUAUAGCCAAGGGUGCCAUGCGGCCUGCCCGGACCGAGGAACGCGCUUCGGCUCGGACGCUGGCAUAAUGGUCGUAAACGACC
Molecule: ribosomal RNA, 1070 nt
Filed under: Penicillium thiersii
Lineage: Eukaryota; Fungi; Ascomycota; Eurotiomycetes; Eurotiales; Aspergillaceae
Description: eukaryotic LSU rRNA
Rfam family: Eukaryotic large subunit ribosomal RNA (bases 438-1070)
Source: RNAcentral